Molecule: ribosomal RNA, 505 nt
Filed under: uncultured bacterium
Lineage: Bacteria
Description: bacterial SSU rRNA
Rfam family: Bacterial small subunit ribosomal RNA
Source: RNAcentral
UGGCUCAGGAUGAACGCUAGCUACAGGCUUAACACAUGCAAGUCGAGGGCAGCAUGUGGUGCUUGCAACCAAUGAUGGCGACCGGCGCACGGGUGAGUAACGCGUAUCCAACCUUCCCUAUAGUAGAGGAUAGCCCGGCGAAAGUCGGAUUAAUACUCUAUGUUUUCCAAUGCAGACAUCUAAGUUGGAACAAAGGUUCACCGCUAUAGGAUGGGGAUGCGUCUGAUUAGAUAGUCGGCGGGGUAACGGCCCACCGAGUCGACGAUCAGUAGGGUUCUGAGAGGAAGGUCCCCCACAUUGGAACUGAGACACGGUCCAAACUCCUACGGGAGGCAGCAGUGAGGAAUAUUGGUCAAUGGGCGAGAGCCUGAACCAGCCAAGUAGCGUGCAGGAUGACGGCCCUAUGGGUUGUAAACUGCUUUUAUACAGGGAUAAAGUGACGUACGUGUACGUUAUUGUAGGUACUGUAUGAAUAAGGACCGGCUAAUUCCGUGCCAGCCGCGGC